Molecule: long non-coding RNA, 748 nt
Filed under: Vigna radiata
Lineage: Eukaryota; Viridiplantae; Streptophyta; Magnoliopsida; Fabales; Fabaceae
Description: long non-coding RNA (VRAD_LNC008653)
Source: RNAcentral
UUUUUUUGAGUAUCUGUAUAUUCUAAAAGUAGAUAGAUAUUUAAAACAGAAAAAGGAAAAAUAGAGAAAUAAAAAAUAAAAAUAACAAGAUAAAUAAAUAAAUAAAAAUAAAAAUAAAAACAAAAAUAAGAUAAAAAGUAAAAUAAGGAAACAAAAUAGAAAGGUGUGGAGGUGCUUAAAGAGGAUGUGCCAGCCGCUGGGUUAGACCCCUUCUUACCAGGCUUGGCAUCACCUACCACACCACGCCGUCAGCCGCCGUCGCAAGGGUUCUUCCAUUUCUUUUCCACGCGAGAGCCUCUCUCGUUCAUGCACGACGCGGACCGUUCGUCGUCGCAAGGAUGCCGCAGCCGCCGAGCUAGGGUCGUCGUUUUCCGUCGAGCCCGCCGCCGUCACCGUCCAGUCACCAGCAAUGAAAACCCUCUUCUCUUUUCCGCACUCGUGGUCUCCACCAAUAAAGGGGCCCCGAUUUCGAAUCAUACACUCUACGAAUUGGGGAAGUCCCAAUCAUAACACUCUAAAGCACAGGGAGAAGAGAAAAAGAUUCGCAAAACGAACAUCUUAUCUCCUAUUUCUAACAAUGCGGAGGGGGAUAUCAAGCUGGACCAUCUUCAUGAUUGAAGAGGAAUUUCUGGGCCAUGGUAACAAAAAUAGAAAAAGGGAAGAACAUGAGGCUUGUCCUAUGCGUUGUUGUGUAUGAUUGUGUUGAUGACUGGGAAAUGAUUCAUUUUUCUGUUUCAGGUAUUGGCCA